UGUGUCAUUUAUAUGAAGA
RNAcentral lists this non-coding RNA (19 nucleotides) under Arabidopsis thaliana (thale cress). The record is from RNAcentral. Lineage: Eukaryota; Viridiplantae; Streptophyta; Magnoliopsida; Brassicales; Brassicaceae.